UAACGCAAUGCCGUGGGGCUACCCUGACACCCAUUACAGGCAGGACUAAAGCACCCCCCGCAGUGAUUACAACCAUUUUGAUAAGUUCGCCUAUUGUCCUUAAGUGACAAGUGGUAUCGUUGUAGAUCCAGUUAUGUCAAGAGGUGUCCUCUGAUAAAGAAACCGUUUGAGACUUUAAGCUCGCCGGAGAAGGCUCGCGGGGGGAGCGACAGACUGCUGCGUUAAAGAGGAGCACAGAUUGACAGUGACUUCCUGAAAGCGAAUCCCACAUCCGUGUUGUCCAAUGGACGGAGACGUGCGAGAUCAUGUGACCCGCUGACAUCACUGCAGCUGGCGGCCUGGGCUUGUAGGCGGAGCCGGGGACCGCGGCCUGUCCGCGGGCGACCUUUGACCUUCUGAAACGACACCCUGGUCCUGGAGGUCAGCCUCAGGAGACGACAAGACACACACUCUACUGUAGCAGGGACUGUUAGGAUUCUACUCAAGAGUCGGAGACAGGAGGAGAGGAGACACGAGAGGAGAGGAGGAGAGAGGAGAGGAUACAGGAGGAGGAGAGAGGAGAGGAGAC
Long non-coding RNA from Osmerus eperlanus (European smelt), 568 nucleotides. RefSeq lists it as uncharacterized. The transcript has 3 exons. NCBI's taxonomy places the organism in Eukaryota, Metazoa, Chordata, Actinopteri, Osmeriformes, Osmeridae. The record is from RefSeq and is a predicted model, not a curated record.